AAAUAAAGUAUCCUUUAGCUUUAAAUUUCUCACCUAAGCUCCUUGAUAUAUAUACUUACAAGGUAAGCCUAUGCAAUGCAAGACUACAUGGACAGGUGUCACGAGGUAAACUAAUGUGCCAGCUACCGCGGUUAUACAUUGAUUUCCUAAUUUCUAUCUUGUUAUUUUUGAACCUUUUAACAGUUUAUUACUCAUUUGUCUAGUGAAAUCGUAUUCCAUUUGUAAAUAAAAGCUUUUAGUUCAAUAAAAUAAAUUUAAUAAUAAAACUAGGAUUAGAUACCCUAUUAUUCUAAAUUUUAAAUAUUAAGAAGUAAAAUAAAUCUCAAACUUAAUCAGGACGACGGUAGAAUUUUAUUAGAGGAGGUUGUUCUUUAAUCGAUAAUCCUCGCUCGUUUCUUUUUCUUUAUUAUGUAUAUCGCCGUUGAAGCUCAACUUAAGAUUGAGUUAACUUAUUUAUAACUAUAGGUCAACAGGUCUAGAUACAAAUAAUGUAAAAGUAUGAAAUGACCUACAAAAUACAAAUAAUCUUAGUGGUAUCCAGUAUAAUGCUAGGUACCAAAGGAUUUAAAAGUAAUAUUAAUUAAUUCCAAUAGUAUAAUGAAUUACACUAAUUCUAUGUACAUAUCGCCCGUCACCCUCCUUGGAGGUAAGUCGUAACAAAGUAGAUCCUUCGGAAGAAGGAUCUAGCCA
RNAcentral lists this non-coding RNA (690 nucleotides) under Trichuris trichiura (human whipworm). The record is from RNAcentral. Lineage: Eukaryota; Metazoa; Nematoda; Enoplea; Trichinellida; Trichuridae.